This is a long non-coding RNA of Paralichthys olivaceus (Japanese flounder), 773 nucleotides long. RefSeq lists it as uncharacterized. NCBI's taxonomy places the organism in Eukaryota, Metazoa, Chordata, Actinopteri, Pleuronectiformes, Paralichthyidae. The record is from RefSeq and is a predicted model, not a curated record.
UGAAAAUAAUAGCGGGAGCCGAGGAGUGCUCCUGCUCAGUUGAGGCAGAGGAAAGAAAAUCUUAGGGCGCACGGAGGCGAAGGAAAGGGAGAUAACGGUUUACAGACUCCACACAGACAAUGUGAAGACGGUUCUGUUUCCUCGGACUCAAGUGACACACCCGCUCCUCCCAGAGUCCUCCCAUUGAUGCUCAACCUCUGGAGAGGGGAAGCCCGGGCUGUGGACGGCGGUGGAAAUGAGCUCGGCCAUGCAGUAAGUGUGGCGACCUUGUGGCCAACCCCUCGCUGUUUCCACCGCUCUCGCCACUAAAUGAUGCCUACUGUAUCCUGCCCAGGAGGAGGAGGAGGUAGAGGAGGAGGAGGAGGAGGAGGAGGAUGGAGCCUCCACUCCUCCAAUCCCAGUUUUCUCUCAUCAGCCAAUCUGGAGGAGAAACUGAGCGACGACGCGGUGGAAACUGUCUGUGAUGGAUGUUUUCACUUGUGGAAGUUUGUGCCACGAGAACUGAACUUGUCGGGAUGAUACCCACAAAUAUAUAUAUUUUCAAUUUCAACAAUUAAAGGUGCUUUGAAAAGGCCCCGAGAUCGAAUCUCCUGCAGAAGAAGAGAUAUAUUCUUCUAUAAUUAUUCUACUCAAUCUCCUGGUCCUCUUAGUUCAGUUCACAGUGUUUUGUGUUUAUUUUGCAGACGCACAUUUUCAUUCACAGAAAAUAAUGUCAAUUGUAAAUACUGCAGAUGUUUAUCGUGUCACAGAUUAUCACUAUUGUUGUAUUAUUU